GACGAACGCUGGCGGCGUGCUUAACACAUGCAAGUCGAACGGAAAGGCCCUGCUUUUGUGGGGUGCUCGAGUGGCGAACGGGUGAGUAACACGUGAGUAACCUGCCCUUGACUUUGGGAUAACUUCAGGAAACUGGGGCUAAUACCGGAUAGGAGCUCCUGCUGCAUGGUGGGGGUUGGAAAGUUUCGGCGGUUGGGGAUGGACUCGCGGCUUAUCAGCUUGUUGGUGGGGUAGUGGCUUACCAAGGCUUUGACGGGUAGCCGGCCUGAGAGGGUGACCGGCCACAUUGGGCCUGAGAUACGGCCCAGACUCCUACGGGAGGCAGCAGUGGGGAAUAUUGCACAAUGGGCGGAAGCCUGAUGCAGCAACGCCGCGUGCGUGAUGACGGCCUUCGGGUUGUAAACCGCUUUCGCCUGUGACGAAGCGUGAGUGACGGUAAUGGGUAAAGAAGCACCGGCUAACUACGUG
This 468-nucleotide ribosomal RNA is filed under the name uncultured bacterium. RNAcentral's name for it is "partial 16S ribosomal RNA". It matches the Rfam family "Bacterial small subunit ribosomal RNA", at positions 28 to 507 of the family's 1533-position model. The record is from RNAcentral.